RNAcentral lists this long non-coding RNA (526 nucleotides) under Elaeis guineensis (African oil palm). RNAcentral's name for it is "long non-coding RNA (EGUI_LNC014019)". Lineage: Eukaryota; Viridiplantae; Streptophyta; Magnoliopsida; Arecales; Arecaceae. The record is from RNAcentral.
UCUCUUUUUUAAAUUCCAACCAAACAAGAAGCUCCCUUCCCACUUUUUAGAAAUUGCCUUUUUCUCCUUUCACUUCUCGUGAAUCAAAUGAGUCCAUAGAUGUUAUAAUUAUAAAACCAACUAGGAUAGUUUGUAGUGCAUGCAGAAUUCGUAUAUUCUUGAAUGAUCGAGAAUAGACAUCCAUCAAAUAAUACUCAUCAAUAUAUGAUAGCAUAUACUCAUGAAUUGUCAUAUUUGAUGAGUGUUGCAGGAGAUUCUUAACUUUGAUCGGAGCGACUGGAGGCAGUCGGAGAUGGUUAGUGCGGCGAGAUCUGCAAAAUAACUCCCGAUCAGAGUUGGCUCUAAUAGGGAUCCUCUGACAGCUAAGUCAGAAAAAUAUAACAGAUGAGAAGGAGAGCAGGAGGGAUAGAGGGCACACGUAUGUACGUACUUGAAGGACUCCUUUUUACCUCUAUUUAUAAGGAGACAAGAGCCAUAAUAGGAAAACUGAUGGGAGACCAUUCUGGCCUCUUCGUCCGUACCAUCC